UGUUUGUGUGGGGCUCACCUGUGCCUUUGU
RNAcentral lists this non-coding RNA (30 nucleotides) under Mus musculus (house mouse). The record is from RNAcentral. Lineage: Eukaryota; Metazoa; Chordata; Mammalia; Rodentia; Muridae.